Molecule: ribosomal RNA, 468 nt
Filed under: uncultured bacterium
Lineage: Bacteria
Description: partial 16S ribosomal RNA
Rfam family: Bacterial small subunit ribosomal RNA
Source: RNAcentral
GACGAACGCUGGCGGCGUGCUUAACACAUGCAAGUCGAACGGAAAGACCCUGCUUUUGUGGGGUGCUCGAGUGGCGAACGGGUGAGUAACACGUGAGUAACCUGCCCUUGACUUUGGGAUAACUUCAGGAAACUGGGGCUAAUACCGGAUAGGAUCUCCUGCUGCAUGGUGGGGGUUGGAAAGUUUCGGCGGUUGGGGAUGGAUUAGCGGCUUAUCAGCUUGUUGGUGUGGUAGUGGCUUACCAAGGCUUUGACGGGUAGCCGGCCUGAGAGGGUGACCGGCCACAAUGGGACUGAGAUACGGCCCAGACGCCUACGGGAGGCAGUAGGGGGGAAUAUUGCACAAUGGGCGGAAGCCUGAGGCAGCAACGCCGCGUGCGGGAUGACGGCCUUCGGGUUGUAAACCGCUUUCGCCUGUGACGAAGAGUGAGUGACGGUAAUGGGUAAAGAAGCACCGGCUAACUACGUG